CCCUUAGAUGUCCGGGGCUGCACGCGCGCUACACUGAAGGAAUCAGCGUGCUAAAACCAUUGUUGAAAGGCAUUGGUAAACCCAUUAAAAUCCUACGUGAUUGGGAUCGGGAAUUGCAAUUAUUUCCCUUGAACGAGGAAUUCCCAGUAAGUGUGGGUCAUAAGCUCGCGUUGAUUACGUCCCUGCCCUUUGUACACACCGCCCGUCGCUGCCCGGGACUGAGCCGUUUCGAGAAAAGCGGGGACUGCUGCUGUCGGGGCUUUCGGGCCUUGGCUUCGGUGGAAACCGCUUUAAUCGCAGUGGCUUGAACCGGGCAAAANUCGUAACA
This 328-nucleotide ribosomal RNA is filed under the name uncultured eukaryote. RNAcentral describes it as "partial 18S ribosomal RNA". It matches the Rfam family "Eukaryotic small subunit ribosomal RNA", at positions 1470 to 1796 of the family's 1831-position model. The record is from RNAcentral.